Molecule: long non-coding RNA, 268 nt
Filed under: Coturnix japonica (Japanese quail)
Lineage: Eukaryota; Metazoa; Chordata; Aves; Galliformes; Phasianidae
Description: lncRNA (ENSCJPG00005010193.1)
Source: RNAcentral
CACAUUCCAAAUACAAGUCAAAAGACUUCUGAUCUGGAUCCAAGUUUCCCUGAAGCAUAAGGAGAAAAAGAACAGCAAGAGAUGGAAGAGGAUAAAGGAGAAUAUAUUCAGCAGCAUGAAACCAGGCUGAGGAACUCAACUCCAAGGUUCUACUCAGAUUCAAAAGGAAAAAAACUACGCAUAGAAGAGGUUAGCAGAAGAGUGCAUCUAAGCUUCAUAUUUACCUGACCUAUUCAAACAAAAACUUACAGAAGUAUGAAAGGCUCCG